Molecule: long non-coding RNA, 620 nt
Organism: Ficedula albicollis (Collared flycatcher)
Lineage: Eukaryota; Metazoa; Chordata; Aves; Passeriformes; Muscicapidae
Exons: 2
Source: RefSeq, a predicted model, not a curated record
AGAAAGAGGGAAAUUGGGGUUAGAGAGGGAGGGAUUGGGAAAAAUGGGGGAAAUGGUGAUAAAAGAGAAGAGAGAGCGGGGAUGGGUAAAAAUCGGGACGAGGUGAAAUUAAAUAAAGGGAGAAAGGGAUUUGUGUUCGAUGUGGUGAGGGAGAGGGGAAAUGGGGAUGAAAUGGGAGGGGAAAGGGGAAAAUUUGGGUUAGAAAGAGAGGGAUUGGGAAAAAAUGGGGAUAAAGGGGGUUAAAGGUGAAGGGAGCUAGAGGAGGGAAGGGUAAAAAUCGGGAUGAGGUGAAAUGAAAUAAAGGGAAAAGGGGAUUUGUGUGCGGUGAGGGAGAGGGGAAAUGGGAAUAAAGUGGGAGGGGAAAAUUUGGGUUAGAAAGGGAGGGAUUGGGAAAAAUGGGGAAAAAAAGUGAAGGGAGUUGGAGUGGGCAUGGGUAAAAAUCGGGAUGAGGUGAAAUUAAAUAAAGAGAAACGGGAAUUUGUGUUUGAUGUGGGUGAAGGUUUUGCGGAAGGAGAAGGGAAAUGGGGAUGAAAUGGGGGAAAGGGUAAGAGGGGGAAAUUGGGUUGGAAAGGGCGGAAUUGGGUAAAAAAACGGGGAAAACUGAAAUAAAGGGGGUUAAA